RNAcentral lists this long non-coding RNA (6287 nucleotides) under Sus scrofa (pig). RNAcentral describes it as "lncRNA (ENSSSCG00000053399.1)". Lineage: Eukaryota; Metazoa; Chordata; Mammalia; Artiodactyla; Suidae. The record is from RNAcentral.
CCUGUUCAUAGGACUUUCAGCAUCUUCAUGUGAACAGUUAACCGGUAGGCAGCUUACCUGACAUGUCUGAAUCAAGCUCCUGUUUUUGUCCUUCAAACACGUUCCUUUCUUGUAUUCCCCAGGUUUGUAAGUGGUGCACUCACCCCACUCCUUGAUCAUGUCAAGUAUCUUCCUGGGAUCCUCUGUUUCUCUCAUACUCCACAUCCAGUCUUUCAGAAAACAUGGAAUAUAUUGAGAAUCUGAUCAUUGUAGUUGAUCUUUUUUUUUGUCUUUUUAGGGCCACACCUGCGGCAUAUGGAGGUUCCCAGGCUAGGGGUCCAAUCGGAGCUGUAGCCACAGCCACAGCCAUGCUGGAUCUGAGCCGCUUCUGCGACCUACACCACAGCUCACAGCAACGCCAGAUCCUUAACCUGCUGAGCAAGGCCAGGGACCGAACCCGCAACCUCAUGGUUCCUAGUCGGAUUUGUUAACCACUGAGCCAUGGUGGGAACUCCUGUAGUUGAUCAUUGAAUCUGGUCAUCUACCUCUGCCAUGUCUAACGCGUUCCAGCCACUGUCAUCUGUAUUUACCAGGAUUGUUGCAUUCUCCUCCCAGCUGGGUUUUCUCUUUGUCCCCUUGUCUUCUGACAACUAUUUUCUGCAGCACAGCCAUAGUGACCCUUUUAAAAUACCUAAGAUGUGCUCAAAACACUUCUGUGUCUUGCUGAGAGUAAAAGCCAAAGUUUAAGGCCCUCCCCCAGUCAGGCUUCCUGCCACCUCCUUGUCCUCAUUUCCCCACACUUGCCGCCCACCCCACCCCUUGCUCUACUCCCGGCAUCCUGGCCUUGGAAACACCCAGUUUGCUCCUGUCUCUGUGUCUCUCUAUGCACUUGCCUCUCUCACCCGUCUUCAAGUCUUGGCGUAAAUGUCACUUUCUCAGUGAGGCUAUCCUUCACUACCUUAUUUAAAAUUGCAGCCUCCCCAAUACUUCUUCCCUCUCUCCCUCUUGUUUCAUUUUUUUCCAUUGCACCCUAGGACAUACAGUUUCUUUUACUUAUGUAUAUGGAUGUUGUAUAUGCCUGUUGCUUAUUGUUAAGGGAGGCUCCACGAAGGCAGGAAUCUUAUCUCUAUUGUUAAUACUUUGUCCUUAGCAGAUGGAAGAGCGCUUGGCUCAUAAUAGGUGCUCAGUAAAUACCCGUUGAAUGAAUUGAGGUUCCAAGGGAGUGGCACUAAGAAAGCAAGAGAGAGAGUUUUCAGAUGAUGGAGUGGCUAUGUUCACAUUUACAUUUCCCAUUGCUUUCAGGGUUUCCCUCCGAACUUUAAGCAGCUUGGGUCCCCUGGAGGGAGAACCAGGAGUCACUAGUACCAUAUCAUUCCUGGCCCCCCUUUGAGGGUGAAAAAGAACUGGGGACCUGCAGAGACUACUUCAGCCCCAAGAGAGGAAGAUAGCAGACGAGUAGAGAGGUUCCCUUGCAUCCUGGCAAGCCAUGGGCAGGGCCUUGAAAAGCGUUCUUUAACAUCAUAAAGCUACAACUAUUUUCUGCUGGAAUAUACCUCUCUUGAUGACCUCGUUGGUGUUGUAAAGCAGAAAAAUGACAGGGGAAUGUUUUACAGUGAAAAUCUUGCGUUCCUGAUUUCUGAAAUAUGAUUGUUGUGUCCGCAGCCAUGUCACAGUCUGCUUUGUGUCCACCCUCCCUGCCACGGGGCAAGGCAUGGUGUAGACAUUGUGUAUUUGUGAACUGAAUGAAUGGGACAGCGUGAGCUGGCAUUACGAAAAAUCAUGGUGGGAAAGAAACAAGCCUCUGCUCAUGGUUUCCAGAGGCAGAAACCGUGUCCAAGGCAAGAGUGGAGUAUCUCGCCACCUCAGACCAGGACAUAUCGUGGGGUGAUAUCAUGCCAUUGCUUUAAGUGAAGAAGUAAUUUUUGUUUUUGUUAUAUGUGGCAUUCGAAGAUGUUGUGCCAAGGGCAAGGUGUUUUUUUAAAAAAACAAAUCUGAAUAGUUUACACAUUUCCCUGUCUAUACUUUUUUUUUUCCUUUCUUGUUUUAUGGAAGGGCAGUAAAGGCGGUAGCUUUCUAUCAGCCUCCUUCUGGCCCUGGAUAAGCCCAGUUGGUCUUACCAAGUAUAUACGAACAUGCCAGUAAAAUGAAGAUUAGUCUAUUUUGCCCUAAUUUUUCUAAGUUAAUUCAUUGUACUCCAAUGGAGUGAAAAAAAAAAAGGCCUUUAAUUGAAUAAUUUAUUAUGUCAUUUGUUUUUUUUUCUUAAUAUGGAGCACAGGAAGUAGUACUAAAUCAAUUUCCUUGCUUAUUACUUGAAACCAAAGGGCUACAUAGUUAUAUGGUAAACCUAUUAGGGAAUGUUUACGUAUUUUUAGGAAAACAUCUAUAAUGUUAUUAUAUAGCAUUAUUCUUCCUUCGAAGGCUGUGAUUCAUAUGUGCAUGCACUCCUAACUAGUACAUCAUUUUUUCUUAGAUACAGUUGAUUGCAUGGUGGAUAAUCUCAAUUUCAGCAUAACCAUGAAUCAUACUUAGGUUAAGAAAACUGAUUUAAUGCAAGCAUCCCCCCCAUCCCCCCCCCCCGCCACCCACCCCAAAGCACCUCUUUAACGAGUAAUUUUCCCAGGCUCCUACUACAUGUAAUCUGUCAUUUGCUUGUGCAUCAGUGAUUAUUUAUCCUUACAAUAUCCUUACUCUAUCUUUCUAAAUUCCCGAGCUAUUUGCUUGGUUUCCCCCUCGUCCCCCAACAUUGGAAUAUCAGAAUAAUGAUCAAUUCUAUUACUUCCCUAUGUUUUUAUGUAAUGCCUGGCACAAGGCGUCUCAGGCGUUUGGUAGUCACUGGUUGAUUGAUUGAUCUAAGCCCGUACUCCUCUGUAGACUGAAGACUCUUGAAUGAAUCAGAGCCCUUGCACGCAUUCCUCAUCAGGUCAGUUAGAUUUGGGAUGGAUGCAAUAGAUGAGGAAAAAAAAAAAAAACAUGCAGUGAUCAAAACUUUACUUUUCACAAUGGGAAAACAAUUUAGGAAAAGUGAUUAUACUGCAGGAUAUUUAGAGAUGUGGACUUUUUGAGCCAGAAUUGAAUUUGAAUACUAACUCCUAACACUGACUGGCUCUGUGGACAAAUUAUUUGCCUCUCAAUUUUUUUUUUUUUUUUUUUUUUUGUAAAAGGACCAUAACAACAGUUACCCUGCAGUGUUGUAGCGGAUUUUAAGAGUAGCUAUAAAAGUACCUGUCAGUACAAUCUAGAGGAGUGUACUAAUUACAUGAUCCUAUACAAGACAAAUCCAGUUUUUGUGUUCUGGUGGGUGAUGCAGUUACCUGAGGGUUGUUUUUCAAGGUGGGUUCCAGGAUGUUUGGAGGCCUCUGUGUCUUAUGAGGAGUUGUUCACAAAUUUCUCCCGUUAAAAGAGAUAUUCGGUAACUAAAAACAGGUUAAAAAUAUUUGAAAAUGUAGUAUUCCCAUCUUGGCGCAGCAGAAAUGAAUCCUACUAGGAACCAUGAGGUUGUGGGUUCUAUCCCUGGCCUCACACAGUGGGUUAAGGAUCUGGCAUUGCUGUGGUUGUGGCCUAGGCUAGCGGCUACAGCUCCGAUUAGACCCCUAGCCUGGGAACCUCCAUAUGCCCUGGCUGUGGCCCUAAAAAGACAAAAGACAAAAAGAAAAAAUAUUUGAAAAUGUAAAUAUGGAUAUAACCUAGAGAUGUUUCUAGGCUAAUUUGUGCCAGAUUCAAGGCCCUGAAGCUUGUUAUAGAAUUAUACAUAUCUGGAUAAAAGGACUGAUUUUAAAACCAAAUGCCUCUGUGUAUUUUGUUGCUGAUUUGGGGUUUGGCCUGACAUCAAGCUCUUGAAUCACAAUUUUCUAGUUCUCUUCCUGCAAUGACUUCAUUUGAAGAAAAGCUUUGUUCAAUGCAAGACUUUCAAGAUACGCUAAACCAAGACAAAAACCCUAAACAUACCAAGUAAACUGUUAUCCUUCAGUGUAGAGAACUUGCAAAGAUGUGAUGACUUCAAUUCUGUUUCAACCCUUCAGUUAAAGGCGUGUACAGAAUACAAGUGCAAAGCAAAACAAAGCAAAAAACCCAGCAGAGCUGCUCUCUGACAAGACUGUGGCAAACCUGACCUGGAAUCUGGGGGGAUUCUUCUGCCAGCCCAGAUCCUUCUGCCACUGGAACCUUGUAUUAUUUAUAGCCACUAAAAGCUGCCUGGCUUCCCAUUCCACUGACAACUAGGUGUACCUCUCUGACCCCGCUCUGUUCACUGUCUAGCUUGGUUCUGAGUCUCCCAAGGGAACCCUGCCUGAGAGAACUUGAUUUGCUCUUCAAGUCAGCACUGGUGGCCCUUUCCACUUGGUACCCUGUCCCAUUACAGUGGGGUUGGGAUGUCAGGGUACACGUCUAAUGGAUGCUACACAUCACUGAAAUAAAUCAGGAACAAUGGUGCUAGUUGUAAGCCAUGCCUUCCCACGUAACUCCUUGUACCAUAGUGGACAGGUCAUCAAGUGGAGAAUUUUCAAAAAUCCCUCUGCAAAGUGCACGGCCCUGCCCUCAGUAAAUGAGUGUUGAAGAGCUAGGCUGUCUGGGAAGCACAUGAUGGGCGUGCAUAGGGGUCUCAGUGCAUGUUGUGGUCCAGCCCAGCUCCUGGUUGGGCUUGACACGGCCGUCAAGUCCCUCUGUUCCAUCUUCAGGCUCUGCCUGGGUCCCUGCUUUUCCUGUUCCUGGUUGCUGCUGAAUGCUUUUCCAGGAUGCUGAUGUUUACUUCUUGCCUACUCCAUCACAUAGCCUAAGUUCUGCCAACAUCCUUGAGUGCCUCCUGCCUGGUCUGUGUCUCCUCCAUCAUUGGGCUUUUUCUGUGUCCCAAGUGUAUACUUUGUCCAGGAUCUGCCUGAAUACUGAUUUUAGUUUUUCACGGAGACUUCUCAUUUCCCUGGUUCCUUCCUUCUGUCUAGGAACCCCAGACAAACUCUGAACUCUCUAUCUCUGAAAAGAGUACCUGCUGAAGUUCUCAGAGGUUUAUUUAUGCAGAAGUUCAUUGUGCCUCUGAUAUGUGGGUGCAUUGAGAAAGGGUAAAGCAGUGUGAAGUGGUCUCCACAUUUAUUCGAUCACAGGACUCUUACUGUUGGAGCAUCUUGGAGGGUAAUGCAGUUCAGAGCACACUCAGAGAAGCACUGCCACAGAGAGUAGGAGUGAUAUUUGGGGCUCGAAAGAAUGUUAAGAGCAGAUGUUAUCCCCUUAACAACAGAAGAAGAACAUCAGUGCCAUAGAUGUUUGAUUUUGAAAUUUCUUGAUGUUUUCUCUGUAGUACCAUAGUGUCACUCUAAUUAGAUUCUUUCCUCUGAAUUCCGUUGUUUGGUUACUGAGUUUGCCCUUCCUGGUUGCUCUGUUCUCUCUAAUUGAGCAAAUUGGCUUUCGUCGAGAACCUACUAUGUGUCAUAUGCUGUGCUAGAUGCUGGAAACAAAUAGGAAUAAGCUAGGCCUCCUCUUGAAAAACAAAUUGUAGUAUAAGAUGUACAUUUUAUAAAAGUGCUUCUUCAUCAAACCAGUUCUUUUGUUUUUCUUCUUUUCAGUCCUCAGACUUUUUUUUUUUUUUAAGCAGAGCUUUUCACUCCAAAUAAUAAUGGAUCCCCUUAGAGAAGGAAUUUCUCAGCAUGUUACAAAAAAUAAGAAAUAGAAUAAGUGCAUGAAAAUUUAAUAUUUCUUUACAUCAAAAACUACCAUAAACAAAAGGAAAAGGCAAGUUGUAAACUAGGAAGAACAUUUGCAACAUAAAAGACAAACAUUUAUUAUCCUUAAUAAAAUAAGCCCAUAGUAACUUUUAAUAAGUCAUGGUCAGAUGAAUAAGUGAAUCAAUGAGUAAAUGAAUUCAAAGCAAUAAGGGAGAAAAGCACUGCAGUAGAAAUAUGAAAAAGAUGUGAAGAUUUGGCAUCGCACACGUCACACCCUCACACACACACAAGCACAAAUCCAAAUAUAUGAAAAAAGCAAAGAAAUGGAAAUUAAAACAACUUUUUAAUUGAUCCUUCAUUGAUUUGAUAAAUGCAUAUGAAGCAUGUUAUCACUAUGCUGUUAAAUCCCUGUAUAGUAUAUAUUAUCCAGUUCAAACAACAGUCUAUAUAAAUGGGUAUUAUCACCUUCAUUUUACCAAUGAGCAUAGGACUUAAAGACGCUAAGUCUUGUAAUGAAGAUUUUGGAGGCAAGAUUCGAACUCAUACCUGUAUGCCUCUAAAGUCCAUCCUCAUAACUAUCAUAUCACAGUGUUCCCACGAAGGGGAGUUCAUGCUGUGGUGCAGGGGCAUCCAUGGCGUCUCUGCAGCACCAGGACU